CCUACGGGAGGCAGCAGUGAGGAAUAUUGGUCAAUGGACGAGAGUCUGAACCAGCCAAGUAGCGUGAAGGAUGACUGCCCUAUGGGUUGUAAACUUCUUUUAUAAAGGAAUAAAACGAGGCACGUGUGCCUUUUUGCAUGUACUUUAUGAAUAAGGAUCGGCUAACUCCGUGCCAGCAGCCGCGGUAAUACGGAGGAUCCGAGCGUUAUCCGGAUUUAUUGGGUUUAAAGGGAGCGUAGAUGGGUUGUUAAGUCAGUUGUGAAAGGUUGCGGCUCAACCGUAAAAUUGCAAUUGAUACUGGCAGUCUUGAGUACAGUAGAGGUAGGCGGAAUUCGUGGUGUAGCGGUGAAAUGCUUAGAUAUCACGAAGAACCCCGAUUGCGAAGGCAGCUUACUAAACUGUGACUGACAUUGAUGCUCGAAAGUGUGGGUAUCAAACAGGAUUAGAUACCCUAGUAGUC
RNAcentral lists this ribosomal RNA (460 nucleotides) under uncultured bacterium. RNAcentral's name for it is "partial 16S ribosomal RNA". It matches the Rfam family "Bacterial small subunit ribosomal RNA", at positions 338 to 795 of the family's 1533-position model. The record is from RNAcentral.